This 113-nucleotide ribosomal RNA is filed under the name Hucho hucho (huchen). The record is from RNAcentral. Lineage: Eukaryota; Metazoa; Chordata; Actinopteri; Salmoniformes; Salmonidae.
UGAAAGGAGCAUACCACCCUGCAUCCCACUGCUUUCUUGCUUCUGAAGCUAAGCAGUGUUGGUCCUGGUUAGUCCCUGGAUGGGAGACCAGAUGCUGCUGGAAGUGGUGUUAG